GGUUUGACCCCUAUAAAUUUGUUCUAACUUCCAAAUGACCCCUUUAGUUGAUAUAACUUUUUAAUUUAUCGUCCAUCAUAAAUUUUUUUGUUUAUUUGACCGCUAUAAAACUUGUUUGUAGAUCCGCCACUGGUAUAUACAUACAUUUUAAUGGAGCUGUGAGAAUACUUUUGAG
RNAcentral lists this small RNA (175 nucleotides) under Arabidopsis thaliana (thale cress). RNAcentral describes it as "ATSL051370". The record is from RNAcentral. Lineage: Eukaryota; Viridiplantae; Streptophyta; Magnoliopsida; Brassicales; Brassicaceae.